CUCUAGCCCUGAUGAAAGCGGUAUCCUUUUUCUUGCUUCUUUAGCAAGAAAAAGAUAUAGCGAACAGCAGGAAAUAGC
This 78-nucleotide small RNA is filed under the name Flavobacterium frigidimaris. RNAcentral describes it as "Flavo-1 RNA". It matches the Rfam family "Flavo-1 RNA". Lineage: Bacteria; Pseudomonadati; Bacteroidota; Flavobacteriia; Flavobacteriales; Flavobacteriaceae. The record is from RNAcentral.